GUAAAGUUUUAUUCUUGCUUUUUGUUCAAUAUUUAUUUGUUCUAUAUGUAAGUUUAUGCGUGAAUUUUGGCUGGAAUUUUAGAUAGAUCCGGGGUUUGGUUGAUAUUUAGUUCUCAUUAGUUGUUAUUGGUUGGUCAAGUAUUCUUGUAUUUAGCAAUGUAUUUAGUUUCGGUUAAAUUUUGUGCCAGCAGCCGCGGUUAUACCUUGGAGGUAUCUGAAUGUGUUUGGCGUAGGUAGUUAGAUGGGUAAUUUAGUUGAUUUUAUUUUAGGUGUUGUUAGGUGAAAUUUUUAUUUUUGUUAAUUUCUUUUAUUUAUUUGGAAACUAUGAAAUUCUUUUGAUAGACUAGGAUUAGAUACCCUAUUAUUUUGGAUGUUAAUUGGUUGGUUUGCCUGAGUAGUAUUAGUUAUGUUCUUGAAACUUAAAGAAUUUGGCGGUAUCUCAUUCCGUCCAGAGGAAUCUGUCUCGUUAUCGAUAGUCCGCGUUGGACCUUACUUAGGUUGAUUAUGGUUUGUAUACCGCCGUUUCUUGAUUAUCUUUUUAGGGUUAUGUUUAAUUUUCUGGUUUCUUUAUUUUGGUAAAUUUCAGGUCAAGGUGCAGCUUUAUUUCUAAGUGAAUGAUGGAUUACAUUGUAAUUUGUUUUAUGGAUUAUUUAUUUUAAUAUUUAUAUGAAAUUGGAUUUGGUUGUAAUUAUUUGUAGAUUGUUAUUAUGAUAGGUGGUUCUGGGAUAUGCACACAUCGCCCGUCGCUCUCGUUAUUUUGUUAAUGAGAUAAGUCGUAACAAAGUGGUUGUACCGGAAGGUGUGGCUGGAUUGAU
Molecule: non-coding RNA, 815 nt
Filed under: Syntermes spinosus
Lineage: Eukaryota; Metazoa; Arthropoda; Insecta; Blattodea; Termitidae
Source: RNAcentral